UCCAAACUCUACGGGAGGCAGCAGUGAGGAAUAUUGGUCAAUGGACGAGAGUCUGAACCAGCCAAGUAGCGUGAAGGAUGAAGGUUUAUGGAUUGUAAACUUCUUUUAUACGGGAAUAACGGAUCCACGCGUGGAUUUCUGCAUGUACCGUAUGAAUAAGGAUCGGCUAACUCCGUGCCAGCAGCCGCGGUAAUACGGAGGAUCCGAGCGUUAUCCGGAUUUAUUGGGUUUAAAGGGAGCGUAGAUGGGUUGUUAAGUCAGUUGUGAAAGUUUGCGGCUCAACCGUAAAAUUGCAAUUGAUACUGGCAGUCUUGAGUACAGUUGAGGUAGGCGGAAUU
Molecule: ribosomal RNA, 338 nt
Filed under: uncultured bacterium
Lineage: Bacteria
Description: bacterial SSU rRNA
Rfam family: Bacterial small subunit ribosomal RNA
Source: RNAcentral